GACUCGGCUCGUCUCGGUUUAGUUGUUUUUCCAUAUAGCCUCAUCAUGGGUGGAGUCGUCAUAGCGCAGCGAGCCGAAAGUCCCUUAACGUCAUUUGUGUGCGACACAAACGCAACAUAGCGGAGACGAUGGUUCACCUGCUGCUCGGUCUGUGGCUUUCUGUCAGAUUCAAAGUAAUAGAAGAGUCAGAGAAAGCUGAGAGCAGCGAGUCGGAACACUCAGGAGACACACAGGAGAGUUUGGGAGGCGAUGCAGCAGUAUCAAGCCGAAGACAAGAGGAUAUGAACCAGACGACAUAUGAGGAUGCUCUCUUGUGAGACUUCAUGGGAUUUACCUGAAGCAGCAGCACAUGAGCCUGCAGUGGCACAAGGUGUAGAGGAGGAGGACAGAGAUGUACAGGAUGCACUGAUGCACUACGUCUCAUGCAAAAGUUAGAAGUUAUUCUUCUCGUUAUACUUCUAUUUUUCUGUCCCCGGACCGCUAUUGUUUUCUUUAAUGCAAUUCUGACAAUAAACUUUUGUACCUUUUGCAAAUGUGUCUGUGCUAUUGUUUUAUUUGUGAAGGUUAGCAAGAUUACAUGACAAAUUAAACACCAAAACAUUAAAACAGCUGUUUUAAGAAUAUUCCAGUUUGAUAAAUCAGUAUUGCUUUGGUGUAAUUCAGUCAACGGAAUUAUGAACCAUAAAGGAGUUUGUGUUAAAACAUGUUAAAUCCCAUUAAACAUAAAUGCAUUAUUAGGGAAUACAGAA
Long non-coding RNA from Amphiprion ocellaris (clown anemonefish), 749 nucleotides. RefSeq lists it as uncharacterized. The transcript is spliced from 2 exons. NCBI's taxonomy places the organism in Eukaryota, Metazoa, Chordata, Actinopteri, Pomacentridae. The record is from RefSeq and is a predicted model, not a curated record.